UACGUAGGGCGCAAGCGUUGUCCGGAAUUAUUGGGCGUAAAGAGCUCGUAGGCGGUUUGUCGCGUCUGCCGUGAAAACCCGAGGCUUAACCUCGGGCCUGCGGUGGAUACGGGCAGACUAGAGGUAGGUAGGGGAGAAUGGAAUUCCCGGUGUAGCGGUGAAAUGCGCAGAUAUCAGGAGGAACACCGGUGGCGAAGGCGGUUCUCUGGGCAUGUCCUGACGCUGAGGAGCGAAAGUGUGGGGAGCGAACAGG
This 253-nucleotide ribosomal RNA is filed under the name uncultured bacterium. Its description in RNAcentral is "partial 16S ribosomal RNA". It matches the Rfam family "Bacterial small subunit ribosomal RNA", at positions 524 to 776 of the family's 1533-position model. The record is from RNAcentral.